UGGAGGGGUAGAAAGGCGGGGGAUCGCAAGACCUCGCGCAAUUGGAGCGGCCGAUGCCCGAUUAGCUAGUUGGUGAGGUAAGGCUCACCAAGGCGACGAUCGGUAGCUGGUCUGAGAGGACGACCAGCCACACUGGGACUGAGACACGGCCCAGACUCCUACGGGGAGGCAGCAGGUGGGGUAAUUUUUGGACAAUGGGGGCAACCCUGAUCCAGCCAUGCCGCGUGCAGGAUGAAGGCCUUCGGGUUGUAAACUGCUUUUGUCAGGGACGAAAAGGACCGUGUUAAUACCAUGGUCUGCUGACGGUACCUGAAGAAUAAGCACCGGCUAACUACGUG
This 338-nucleotide ribosomal RNA is filed under the name uncultured bacterium. RNAcentral's name for it is "bacterial SSU rRNA". It matches the Rfam family "Bacterial small subunit ribosomal RNA", at positions 191 to 507 of the family's 1533-position model. The record is from RNAcentral.